Molecule: long non-coding RNA, 1103 nt
Organism: Notolabrus celidotus (New Zealand spotty)
Lineage: Eukaryota; Metazoa; Chordata; Actinopteri; Labriformes; Labridae
Exons: 3
Source: RefSeq, a predicted model, not a curated record
GCAGGUGAGCAGACUUGACUGGCAGCAAGGAGAGUUGAUCCAUGUCCAGCUCCAGGGGGACUGGGAAGACAGACAGAACAUGCAACUAUACAGGAAAAGGAAAUGGGGAAGAAAGGCAGGGAAGUUAGGAUAAGGUGAACAUAACUUUAAAGUUAUUUUAGUGGAUAUUGGAGAGGCAGAGGCAACCAAGCUUGUCUUCCCGUCGGAUGACUUGGAGCCACAGUUUUCCUACUUGGCUAAAUUCAGCUUUAGAUUUGGUUUGUUUUCCCCCUCAUUGUGAACUUGAUGUGGCGUUUUCUGGGAUGCUGACUAUAUCUGUUGUACGGUAUCAUAACUGGACUUGUGGAAUACGCUGUAAAAAAGUUGAGUUUAGAGCUCCUGACAAUUUUUACCAGCUUCCUGGUCCAGCUCCUAGUCCAUAACGAGCACCUGGAGCUACGUCUCAUUCCUGGGGGUCUCCUCCCUUUUGGACAUGCAUGGGAAACCUCAAGGGAAACUAUCAGAAGGCUUCCUGAACACUUCAACUUUCUUCUUUUCAUGUGAAGGAGUAAUGCCUGGCUCAGCUCCCUCCUCGCCAGGAUUUCCAAGACAGUCCAGCUGCAGACCUCCACUCUCAGCCGGCUUAACGGCUCCUGCAACGUGAACCGGAAGCUCACCUCCAUCGUAGGACGGAAGUGAUAUAAAUCUAAUCUUUGCGGUCUCAGCCGUCUGAUAGGCUCCUCCAGCUCCUCCUCUUCUAUCGUGCAUAAAACCUUAACACAAAUUGCACAUGAUAAAAUAUGCCUGCCAAACGUAAAACGUCUUGAAUGUUUAGAUAUCGUAGCAUAAGACAAUCAUUUUUGGACAGUUGGGAUCACUUUAAUCACCAUCAUAUAAAAAAACAACAAACUAAAUAACCGUAAAAUAGUUAUCAUGAUACUGACUUAAGUUAACAUAUUUCACCUUCAUGUGCUGCAUAUAAUAUUAAAUGAAUCAUGUUGCUGUGAAUCUUCAAACCUUGAAUUGAUUCUACUUCUAUCCUCGUUUUACGGUUAAAACAACAAUGAAUGUAAACACAGAGGUUGUAGACUGUAGCGCAAAUUAAACAAUUGUGUCUCUCUGGA